GGUGGGAUGACGUCAAGUCCUCAUGGCCUUUAUGUCCAGGGCUACACACGUGCUACAAUGGAUGGUACAAAGAGCAGCGAUCUCGCGAGAGGGAGCAAAAUCUCAAAAACCCAUCCUCAGUUCGGAUUGGAGUCUGCAACUCGACUCCAUGAAGUUGGAAUCGCUAGUAAUCGCGGAUCAGCAUGCCGCGGUGAAUACGUUCCCGGGCCUU
RNAcentral lists this ribosomal RNA (211 nucleotides) under uncultured Syntrophus sp. RNAcentral describes it as "partial 16S ribosomal RNA". It matches the Rfam family "Bacterial small subunit ribosomal RNA", at positions 1173 to 1382 of the family's 1533-position model. The record is from RNAcentral. Lineage: Bacteria; Pseudomonadati; Thermodesulfobacteriota; Syntrophia; Syntrophales; Syntrophaceae.